GAGAGGUACAAGGGCAAAGUUCUUCGGAGAUAAAUUACCAUGGCGAACAGUUUGCAGCAUAUACUAAGUGCAGUGCCAAAGGCCAUACCUUAUGCGUUGUUAGAAGAAAUUACAGACAACUUUUCAGAUGAGCGAAUGCUUGGUCAAGGUGGCUUUGGAAAAGUUUACUGGGGAAUGUAUAAUGGAGAAGAAAUUGCUGUGAAAAAGCUUAGAAUGAUACAGCACCUUGCUGAUGAGCCACAAUUUAACAAUGAACUUCUUAGUCUUGUGCAUGUCCAACAUCAAAAUAUUGUCAAGUUAGUUGGCUACUGCUAUCAAACAAAACAUGAAGUUAAUGUAUACAAUGGAAGACUUGUCGUGGCUGACGUGAUAGAAAGAGUUCUCUGCUUUGAGUACCUUUCCCGUGGAAGCCUCGACGAAUAUCUUUCUGACGAAUCCUGCGGACUUGAUUGGUACGAACGUUACAAAAUAAUUGUCGGGAUUUGUGAGGGUCUAAAUUUCCUUCACAAUGGAACCAAAAGAGCAGUUUACCAUCUUGAUUUAAAACCUGCAAACAUAUUGUUGGAUGAGAACUGGAUGCCAAAAAUUUGUGACUUCGGUCUGUCAAGACUCAUUAGUAACUCAGCAAAAAGCCAUAACGCGGAACACUGUAUCGGAACACCUCCCUUCAUGCCACCAGAAUACAUAGAGAAGGGCAGAAUCUCUGACAAGUAUGAUGUUUUCAGCUUAGGCGUCACAAUCAUACAAAUAAUUGCAGGCCGUGAUGGCCAUAGCAAAUAUGAAGACAUGCCUUGCCAAAAAUUUGCUGAACUUAUACGGGCAUAAUUAUGUGAUCAAUAAUAAUGGAGUUGCUUAAAUUAGUACUAACAUCAUCAGUUGUGUCAUGUUUAAAUACCAUUUUGUAGGUAAACUUGAAUUGGAGGAUAAGGAUAGAGGGAACAUCAAAGCAUGUGGAAGAAUACUGCCAGCAAGUCAAGAAAUGUAUCACAAUUGCAUUAGAUUGCCUGGAGCAUGACAGAGACAAAAGGCCCACUAUAGGGUCUAUUAUCGAUACGUUGAAACAGCUAGAAACCAUGACUCACAGAACAGUAGAAGAAGAAAAAGAAGGAGAACCUGAGCAGUUGGAACAGAUAGAAACCAUGAUUCAUAACACAGCAGAAGAAGAGAAAGAAGAAGACCAGGAGCAGUUGGAACAGAUAGAAACCACGAUUAACAGCACUGUAGAAGGAGAAGGGCAACAGGAGCAGGAGAACUCUCAAGUUCUUACAUACGGGCCUUGGGGUGGAAAUGGCGGGACUCCUCAUGACAUCGGGGCAGCAUCUUCCUAUCGUCUUAAAAGUGUGACAAUUCGUUAUGGCGAUAUCAUUGAUUCACUUACAUUUUCAUAUAGCGAUCACAGUGAGCACGUACGCAGUGUUGGUCCAUGGGGUGGUACUGGUGGUGCGAACAAAUAUACGAUCAAAUUUGAACCAUCAGAGUUUCUCACAGAAAUUUCUGGACAAUUUGGUCCAUAUGCGUUAUCAACUUCCAAUGUCAUAACAUCGCUCAUGCUGGUAACCAAUGAGGAUAGAUAUGGACCUUUUGUAUUUGUACAAGGAACUCCUUUCUGCAGCAACUUGGAAAACGAUUGGGCUAUAGUUGGUUUUUUUGCACGUGCGGAGAGAUAUGUUCAUAAAAUUGGUGUGUAUGCCAGACCCAAUUCGCUCGACGGAGGAACUGCUGUGCAGUCCGAGCUGCAAGGAGGACAAGAGUAGUGGUAGUAGUACGGUAUGUGUUUCUAGCGCACUUGGUCCAUUUGGUAUACGACGGGACAAGAGUACUGUUGCUGUAUCUGUAUGAGAUCGUACAUUGCCU
This 1854-nucleotide ribosomal RNA is filed under the name Triticum aestivum (bread wheat). Its description in RNAcentral is "partial small subunit ribosomal RNA". The record is from RNAcentral. Lineage: Eukaryota; Viridiplantae; Streptophyta; Magnoliopsida; Poales; Poaceae.